Molecule: ribosomal RNA, 748 nt
Filed under: uncultured archaeon
Lineage: Archaea
Description: bacterial SSU rRNA
Rfam family: Archaeal small subunit ribosomal RNA
Source: RNAcentral
GCUAGUUGUGCGCACCCUAGCCAUGUUGGGAGCGCAGCGUACAGCUCCGUAACACGUGGUCAAUCUGCCCUUAGGACAGGGAUAACCCCCGGGAAACUGGGGCUAAUACCUGAUAGGCGGAAAAGCCUGGAAUGGCUUUCCACCUAAAGGGCUUUAGGAACAUGCUCCUAAAGUUGCCUAAGGAUGAGACUGCGUCCGAUCAGGUUGUUGGUGGGGUAGUGGCCUACCAAGCCUAUAACCGGUACGGGCCCUGAGAGGGGGAGCCCGGAGAUGGGAACUGAGACAAGGUCCCAGACCCUACGGGGUGCAGCAGUUACGAAACCUUUACAAUGCACGAAAGUGUGAUAGGGUUAUCCCGAGUGCCAUCCGAUGAGGAUAGCUUUUCCCCGGUGUAAGGAGCCGGGGGAAUAAAGGGGGGGCAAGACUGGUGUCAGCCGCCGCGGUAAUACCAGCCCCCUGAGUGGUAGGGACGAUUAUUUGGCCUAAAGCGUUCGUAGCCGGCUUAGCAAAUCUUUCGUUAAAUCCGGCGACUUAAUCGUCGAGCUGCGAGAGAUACUACUAGGCUUGAGGACGGGAGAGGUCGACGGUAUUCCGGGGGUAGGGGCAAAAUCCUAUAAUCCUCGAAGGACCACCAGUGGCGAAGGCGGUCGACUAGAACGUGCCUGACGGUGAUGGACGAAAGCUGGGGGAGCAAACCGGAUUAGACACCCGGGUAGUCCCAGCCGUAAACGAUGCGGGCUAGGUGUUG